Leptinotarsa decemlineata (Colorado potato beetle) is the source of this 522-nucleotide long non-coding RNA. The record is from RefSeq and is a predicted model, not a curated record. NCBI's taxonomy places the organism in Eukaryota, Metazoa, Arthropoda, Insecta, Coleoptera, Chrysomelidae.
AAAUCCACAAAUCCCAACCCAAGAAAAGUGUUACUGAAUUCAAUUUCCUUCAGUGUAGACGUUUUUCCAGCAUAACAAUCACAAGCUCCACUCAUGAAUAUGCUGAUUGAACUCCUGCUAACCGAAGCGGAAACAACCCAAAAACUCCAUUCUCCCCGAACUCCACGUACCUGAAACUUGUCUAGAAGAAAAUUUCAUUGCUGUCUCCACUCAAGAUAUCAUCAAGCUACUUGGGAAAGACACUUCAACUGGCUAAUGAAUUUUCUCCGGCGCUGACAAAGCUGUACAGCUUUUUUCGAAUACUUGGCCGACCGUUGACAAAUGAAAAACGAAGGAACAAUUCCGCCCGAGCUGGUCCACAUUGGAAAUUCAUGGAAGCGCGCUUCUAGGAGAAAAUAAACAUGUUUAUGACGAUGUCGAGGUGAACGUUGCCGCUGACAAUGAAAAGUGUUUUAUUGUGUUGCCUGCGAAGUAGUUGUUACUCUCCAGAGUUUUCUGGCACAUUAAACAGGUUGAUUGCUA